AUUUAAGUAGCUUAACUAAAGCACAUCUCUGAAGAAGAUAAGAUGAGACCUCUCCUUAAAUA
RNAcentral lists this transfer RNA (62 nucleotides) under Amynthas divergens. RNAcentral's name for it is "tRNA-Phe". Lineage: Eukaryota; Metazoa; Annelida; Clitellata; Crassiclitellata; Megascolecidae. The record is from RNAcentral.